AUGAGUGUUUUCAGAUUACCAGCUUCUGUUUGUGAUGACUUAACACGUAUGAUGAGACAGUAUUGGUGGGGUGUGAAGAAUGGGAAGAAAAAGAUGGCUUGGCACAGUUGGGAAAAGAUGAAGUUACCCAAAGCAAUGGGCGGUAUGGGGUUUAGGGACAUGAGAGCUUUUAACCAGACCCUGUUAGCUAAACAGGCACGGCGUCUGUUGGAUACCGAUAGCCUCUGUGCCCGUCUACUAGAACCAAAGUAUUACCCAAACGGGAAUUUAUUGGACACUAUUUUUUCAUCUAGAGCUUCGGUUGUAUGGAAAGGAAUUGUGCAUGGGCUUGGUCUUCUAAAAUAAGGUACUAUAUGGUGGGUCGGAGAUGGCUCCUUAAUUAAAACAUGGCGGGAUCCAUGGAUACCGCGUGAUCAUAAUCUCCGGCCUAUAACGUCGAAGCGAAAUUGCGGAUAUAAUUGGGUUGCAGAUUUCUUGGAUGAGCAUGGAGCUUGGAGCGUGCAGAGGCGGGGAGAGCACUUCUAGGAAUUGGAUGUUCAUGAAAUUGUAAAAAUUCCAACUUCUCAUAGAAGGGGACAUGCUUUUAUUGCGUGGUUCCCAGAAAAGAACGGGCUAUUCUCAGUAAGAAGUGUGUAUCGGUUAGCAACUAGAGAACAAAAUAUGAUGGCCGCGAAGGGUUCUUCAAGCUCGCACCCGACCGGAGAAAGACCGAUAUGGCAGUGUAUUUGGGGAUCUAAAGUUCCUUUAAAGAUGCGUAUUUUGGCUUGGAAAGUGGCUUCUGGUGCGUUGGCGACAAAUGUGUGCAAAAAAGUUUAG
RNAcentral lists this ribosomal RNA (816 nucleotides) under Triticum aestivum (bread wheat). RNAcentral describes it as "partial small subunit ribosomal RNA". Lineage: Eukaryota; Viridiplantae; Streptophyta; Magnoliopsida; Poales; Poaceae. The record is from RNAcentral.